UUCAUCUAUUGCAACAGAUAUUCAGGAGCAUAAUAUGAAUCCCAACAGGUAAGUAAUCUAUUGCGACUGAUCACUUACCUGUUAUAACAGAUUACAUAUCUGUUGGGAUUCAUUCACGGCAUUAUGAAAUCACUAUCAACUUUUUUUAACAAAUGACUUUAUUUAGGUACCACUAAUGGAGGGAUCAAUAACAAUAGGGGUGGAUUGUCAUAGUCAAUGGAUCAAGAAGAGUAAUCGAUAUGUAUGGCAUUGGAAGGAGGGUAAAAUGCUAG
This 272-nucleotide long non-coding RNA is filed under the name Capsicum annuum. RNAcentral's name for it is "long non-coding RNA (CANN_LNC016030)". The record is from RNAcentral. Lineage: Eukaryota; Viridiplantae; Streptophyta; Magnoliopsida; Solanales; Solanaceae.